AAAAAAUUAGUUAAAUUAUAACAUUAGUUUGUCAAACUAAAAUAAUCAAUAUUAUGAUAUUUUUUA
RNAcentral lists this transfer RNA (66 nucleotides) under Hypoderma lineatum (early cattle grub). RNAcentral's name for it is "tRNA-Asp". Lineage: Eukaryota; Metazoa; Arthropoda; Insecta; Diptera; Oestridae. The record is from RNAcentral. RNAcentral also lists the same sequence under 1 other name.